RNAcentral lists this ribosomal RNA (460 nucleotides) under uncultured bacterium. RNAcentral's name for it is "partial 16S ribosomal RNA". It matches the Rfam family "Bacterial small subunit ribosomal RNA", at positions 338 to 795 of the family's 1533-position model. The record is from RNAcentral.
CCUACGGGAGGCAGCAGUGAGGAAUAUUGGUCAAUGGGCGAGAGCCUGAACCAGCCAAGUAGCGUGAAGGAUGACUGCCCUACGGGUUGUAAACUUCUGGUAUAAAGGAAUAAAGUGAGGCACGUGUGCCUUUUUGUAUGUGCUUUGUGAAUGAGGAUCGGCUAACUCCGUGACAGCAGCCGCGGUAAUACGGAGGAUCCGAGCGUUAUCCGGAUUUAUUGGGUUUAAAGGGAGCGUCGAUGGGUUGUUAAGUCCGUUGUGAAAGUUUGAGGCUUAACCGUAACAUUGCAAUUGAUACUGGCAGUCUGGAGUACAGUUGACGUAGGCGGAAUUCGUGGUGUAGCGGUGAAAUGCUUAGAUAUCACGAAGAACUCCGAUUGCGAAGGCAGCUUACUAAACUGCACCUGACAUUGAUGCCCGAAAGCGUGGGUAUCGAACAGGAUUAGAUACCCGGGUAGUC